This 490-nucleotide ribosomal RNA is filed under the name uncultured bacterium. Its description in RNAcentral is "partial 16S ribosomal RNA". It matches the Rfam family "Bacterial small subunit ribosomal RNA", at positions 28 to 507 of the family's 1533-position model. The record is from RNAcentral.
GAUGAACGCUAGCUACAGGCUUAACACAUGCAAGUCGAGGGGCAGCAUGGUCUUAGCUUGCUAAGGCCGAUGGCGACCGGCGCACGGGUGAGUAACACGUAUCCAACCUGCCGUCUACUCUUGGACAGCCUUCUGAAAGGAAGAUUAAUACAAGAUGGCAUCAUGAGUUCACAUGUUCACAUGAUUAAAGGUAUUCCGGUAGACGACGGGGAUGCGUUCCAUUAGAUAGUAGGCGGGGUAACGGCCCACCUAGUCUUCGAUGGAUAGGGGUUCUGAGAGGAAGGUCCCCCACAUUGGAACUGAGACACGGUCCAAACUCCUACGGGCGGCAGCAGUGCGGAAUAUUGGUCAAUGGGCGAGAGCCUGAACCAGCCAAGUAGCGUGAAGGAUGACUGCCCUCUGGGUUGUAAACUUCUUUUAUAAAGGAAUAAAGUCGGGUAUGUAUACCCGUUUGCAUGUACUUUAUGAAUAAGGAUCGGCUAACUCCGUG